CAGUCGCCGCGGUAAUACGAAGGGUGCAAGCGUUACUCGGAAUUACUGGGCGUAAAGCGUGCGUAGGUGGUGGUUUAAGUCCGUUGUGAAAGCCCUGGGCUCAACCUGGGAAUGGCAGUGGAUACUGGCUCGCUAGAGUGUGUCAGAGGAUGGUGGAAUUCCCGGUGUAGCGGUGAAAUGCGUAGAGAUCGGGAGGAACAUCAGUGGCGAAGGCGGCCAUCUGGGACAACACUGACGCUGAGGCACGAAAGCGUGGGGAGCAAACAGGAUUAGAUACCCGGGUAGUCCCUGUCUCUUAUAC
Molecule: ribosomal RNA, 301 nt
Filed under: uncultured bacterium
Lineage: Bacteria
Description: partial 16S ribosomal RNA
Rfam family: Bacterial small subunit ribosomal RNA
Source: RNAcentral